Molecule: ribosomal RNA, 496 nt
Filed under: uncultured bacterium
Lineage: Bacteria
Description: partial 16S ribosomal RNA
Rfam family: Bacterial small subunit ribosomal RNA
Source: RNAcentral
GAUGAACGCUGGCGGCGUGCCUAAUACAUGCAAGUCGAGCGAACAGACGAGGAGCUUGCUCCUCUGACGUUAGCGGCGGACGGGUGAGUAACACGUGGAUAACCUACCUAUAAGACUGGGAUAACUUCGGGAAACCGGAGCUAAUACCGGAUAAUAUAUUGAACCGCAUGGUUCAAUAGUGAAAGACGGUUUUGCUGUCACUUAUAGAUGGAUCCGCGCCGCAUUAGCUAGUUGGUAAGGUAACGGCUUACCAAGGCAACGAUGCGUAGCCGACCUGAGAGGGGGAUCGGCCACACUGGAACUGAGACACGGUCCAGACUCCGACGGGAGGCAGCAGUAGGGAAUCUUCCGCAAUGGGCGAAAGCCUGACGGAGCAACGCCGCGGGAGUGAUGAAGGUCUUCGGAUCGUAAAACUCUGUUAUUAGGGAAGAACAAAUGUGUAAGUAACUAUGCACGUCUUGACGGUACCGAAGCAGAAAGCCACGGCUAACUACGU